UUUAAAGUGUAAUGUAAGUCGCUUUGGAUAAAAGCGUCUGCUAAAUGUAAUGUG
Non-coding RNA from Gasterosteus aculeatus (three-spined stickleback), 54 nucleotides. The record is from Rfam. NCBI's taxonomy places the organism in Eukaryota, Metazoa, Chordata, Actinopteri, Perciformes, Gasterosteidae.